AUUGAACGCUGGCGGCAUGCCUUACACAUGCAAGUCGAACGGCAGCGCGGGGGCAACCUGGCGGCGAGUGGCGAACGGGUGAGUAAUAUAUCGGAACAUACCCUAGAGUGGGGGAUAACGUAGCGAAAGUUACGCUAAUACCGCCAUACGCACUAAGGUGGAAAGUGGGGGAUUCGCAAGAACCUCAUGCUCAUGGAGUGGCCGAUAUCUGAUUAGCUAGUUGGUGAGGUAAAGGCUCACCAAGGCGACGAUCAGUAGCUGGUUUGAGAGAACGACCAGCCACACUGGAACUGAGACACGGUCCAGACUCCUACGGAGGCAGCAGUGGGGAAUUUUGGGACAAUGGGGGCAACCCUGAUCCAGCAAUGCCGCGUGAGUGAAGAAGGCCUUCGGGUUGGUUAAAGAC
This 406-nucleotide ribosomal RNA is filed under the name uncultured bacterium. RNAcentral describes it as "bacterial SSU rRNA". It matches the Rfam family "Bacterial small subunit ribosomal RNA", at positions 30 to 433 of the family's 1533-position model. The record is from RNAcentral.